This 204-nucleotide microRNA precursor is filed under the name Oryza rufipogon (brownbeard rice). RNAcentral describes it as "MIR812 microRNA precursor family". It matches the Rfam family "MIR812 microRNA precursor family". Lineage: Eukaryota; Viridiplantae; Streptophyta; Magnoliopsida; Poales; Poaceae. The record is from Rfam by way of RNAcentral.
AAUAGAUGACGCCAUUAACUUUUUCUUACAUGUUUGAUCAUUCGUCUUAUUCAAAAAAAUUACGUAAUUAUAAUUUAUUUUGUUAUGAGUUGUUUUAUCACUCAUAUUACUUUAAAUUUGAUUUAUAUCUUAUAUAUUUGCAUAAAAUUUUUGAAUAAGACGAAUAGUCAAACAUGUGAGAAAAAAUCAACGGCGUCAUCUAUU